This is a non-coding RNA of Podarcis lilfordi (Lilford's wall lizard), 97 nucleotides long. NCBI's taxonomy places the organism in Eukaryota, Metazoa, Chordata, Lepidosauria, Squamata, Lacertidae. The record is from the annotation of a GenBank genome assembly.
UCUCCAGCUGUUUUUGGACUACAAUUCCUAUCAUCCCUAGCUGGCAGGACCAGUGAGCUAGGGAUGAUGGGAGUUGUAGUCCAAAAACAACCGGAGA